This 388-nucleotide ribosomal RNA is filed under the name uncultured bacterium. Its description in RNAcentral is "bacterial SSU rRNA". It matches the Rfam family "Bacterial small subunit ribosomal RNA", at positions 28 to 417 of the family's 1533-position model. The record is from RNAcentral.
GACGAACGCUGGCGGCGUGCUUAACACAUGCAAGUCGAGCGGUAAGGCCCUUUCGGGGGUACACGAGCGGCGAACGGGUGAGUAACACGUGGGUGACCUGCCCUUAGCUCUGGGAUAAGCCUGGGAAACUGGGUCUAAUACCGGAUAUGACUCCAUGACGCAUGUUGUGGGUGGAAAGCCUUGUGCGGCUAGGGAUGGGCCCGCGGCCUAUCAGCUUGUUGGUGGGGUGAGGCCUACCAAGGCGACGACGGGUAGCCGGCCUGAGAGGGCGACCGGCCACACUGGGACUGAGACACGGCCCAGACUCCGUACGGGAGGCAGCAGGUGGGGAAUCUUGCGCAAGUGGGCGAAAGCCUGACGCAGCGACGCCGCGUGGGGAUGACGGCCU